RNAcentral lists this ribosomal RNA (497 nucleotides) under uncultured bacterium. Its description in RNAcentral is "partial 16S ribosomal RNA". It matches the Rfam family "Bacterial small subunit ribosomal RNA", at positions 28 to 507 of the family's 1533-position model. The record is from RNAcentral.
GAUGAACGCUGGCGGCGUGCCUAAUACAUGCAAGUCGAGCGAACAGACGAGGAGCUUGCUCCUCUGACGUUAGCGGCGGACGGGUGAGUAACACGUGGAUAACCUACCUAUAAGACUGGGAUAACUUCGGGAAACCGGAGCUAAUACCGGAUAAUAUAUUGAACCGCAUGGUUCAAUAGUGAAAGACGGUUUUGCUGUCACUUAUAGAUGGAUCCGGGCCGGAUUAGCUAGUUGGUAAGGUAACGGCUUACCAAGGCAACGAUGCGUAGCCGACCUGAGAGGGUGAUCGGCCACACUGGAACUGAGACACGGUCCAGACUCCUACGGGAGGCAGCAGUAGGGAAUCUUCCGCAAUGGGCGAAAGCCUGACGGAGCAACGCCGCGUGAGUGAUGAAGGUCUUCGGAUCGUAAAACUCUGUUAUUAGGGAAGAACAAAUGUGUAAGUAACUAUGCACGUCUUGACGGUACCUAAUCAGAAAGCCACGGCUAACUACGUG